Xyrichtys novacula (pearly razorfish) is the source of this 4106-nucleotide non-coding RNA. Lineage: Eukaryota; Metazoa; Chordata; Actinopteri; Labriformes; Labridae. The record is from the annotation of a GenBank genome assembly.
GGGGAAAGAAGAUCGGCGCUCCGCGGGAAGGUUUGCUGGGACUCGGUGCCGUCGGCGGGUCGAAGCUCGGUGGUGGGCGGCUUGGAGUGACGGAGGUGCGGCGUCUUCUUUCAGUUGGCGGCGCGGCGUCUUCCUCGAUGGUGGUCCGUCUUCUUGGUCCAGUGGUCAGUGCUUUGUCUCAAUUACAGGAACCGUAAUCGCUCUUUAGUGCACAGCACAUAAAUGUGCUUUAGACAGGAGAAGACAUCCCCAGAGUUGGGCUCGAGUCAUGGUUUUUGCUGUUCCUCUCAGACAUGGUUGUGUUCUCUUCUCGAUGUUUGUAUUCCAGAAUGGAUAUCUCUUGGUUGUAUUUUAAACUUUCAAGUUGUUUUAAGUUAAUUUUAGUGUAGUUUAUUGUUUUAAAUUGAGUUUUGCUACAUUAAAUUUGUAUGCAAUCGCAAGGGAUUGUGGGUAUUUUAGUUCUGAGGGAUGAGAGCCUAAGGAAUCAAUCUUCAUGUUACAGCAAAGGAUUGUGGGUAAAACCGUGAGUGAGUGAGGUACUUCCUUUCUGGCAUGAGAGCCUUGGGAAUCAAUCUCCCUGUUGCAGCAAAGGAUUGUGGGUAAAACCGUGAGUGAGGGAGGUACAUUUUUCCUGGCAUGAGAACCUCAGGAGUCAGUCCUUCCUAAGAAAAAAGAGGGGAGGGGGGAAGAAAAACAAAAGCACGGGAACCCUAAAAUAAAAUAAAAUAAAAUAAUAUAAUAUAAUAUAAAACAAUGAAAAAAUGAAAAAAUAAAAGAAGAACAAAAGUGGAUUGCAAAAGGGAAAGGGGAAGAAAAAAGGAAAAAAAGAAGUGUCAAGAGCAAAUAGCAAAAAUCAGAAGUGAGCUUAAAAACAGAGAACAGUUCCCUAAAAGAAAGACAGAAAUGUAAAUCUGAUCAAUGUCCUAAGGGAAAAUCUGUACGUGUGUGUGUGUGUUCUUUUUUGCUAGCUUAGUCUGGUGUCACUGAUGGUCAGUUAUUGAUAAGUAUUUAUUAUUUAAAUUUUUGAUGAAGUUGUUUGUAGUGGGGUUAGCCGGCUAAUUUUAGAGUGUUAAAAAAGAUGUUAGAGGGGGAGGAUUUAGGGGGCACGGCGGUUCCCCUUCAGGUCUCUCUUAAUCCUCCGUAUAGGUGACCCAACAGGGGUUACCCCCCGGCCGGGGUAGGCCUAGGCUGAAGAUCACCUAUUUGUCCUCUGUGAAGGUGAAAAUAAAGGGGCAGGGGAGGGAAUAAGAAAGGGGGGGUGUUAGAGAGAGGGGGAGAGAUGAGGGCGAGAGAUGAGGGAGAGAGAUGAGGGAGGGAGGGAGAGAGAGAGAGAGAGAGAGAGAGAGAGAGAGAGGUGUGUGUGUGUGUGAGAGAGAGAGAGAGAGAGAGAAGGGAAGAGGGAGAGGGGGGUUUAAGGGAGAGGUGGAGAUGGUGGAAAAUAAAGAUUGGUGAGGGGGAUUUGGUGGCGGAUGAAACAUCCCAUAGCUCCCCAGCUCUCACCAUCCAUGUGAGGAGAGUGAGCAAGGGACAUAGUCCCCCGACCCGACUAGGUCUAGGCUCUGCUCUCCUCACGGUCCUCACAAGAUACAAAGAGACAUGUAUACGUGGAAGUGAGAGUUCUCAUGGCAGAGUUUUGGGUUUGGUUUGAGCUGAGUUGGUCAGUCGAUAAUUGAUUACUAUUUUAAGUUCUAAAAGUAGAUAGAGUCAAAAAGUCACAGAGGAUUGUGGUGGGAGCAGGUGGUCCGUCUGGCACCAUUCUGCUCAUGCAGGGAUUCGAGUGAUAGAAAGAGAAUAGAUCUUGCCACCGUGACUCGCCAUUGAGACUCUCCUCACCUGCUGGUUUUCAUCCUCUGAUAGGAGAGAGAGGUACAGAUCAGGAGAGAGGGAGAAAAGGAGGGGGGCAGGGUGGGGUCAGGAGUUAAUUUGUCUUGAAAAGUAUUUAUCUUUUUGUCAUUGCUGUUAGGGUUUAGAUGUUUUUUGUUUAGUUAUCUGUGGAAUGUAGUGUUAGUAUAGGUUCCAAGGUGGAGGAUUCUUUGGAAUUCACUCUCACCCUUGAACCUGGAAGAUCUUAGAUUCUAUAAAGGGGGGGAAAGGGGGGGGGGGUGAGAGGUUGUGUGCACAGAAGAAGCAUGAGCUCAGACUAUUCUCGGAAUGAUAUUGUGACAAGUCUGUCCGAAGGCAACUGGCUGGUUAGGUGUGGGAAAGACAUACAGUGAUAGCCCCUGCUUUCGUAAGUUGACUUGGCGGUUUGGGGUAGGCUGAUCAAGGGCUUGCACUGGCUGGCGCAUGUCGACAUAUCACAUGUUCCCAGUCAAGUCUCCAAGCUCAAUCUGUGUGUAAAAGUUAUGUGUUGGUAGGAAGUUUAAUGACUCAGCUCAAUUGGUAUGCUAUGCUGUCUAUCUUUUAGACUAUGUGUUUGUAGAGCAAAAUUAUGUAUAUAUUAUAUUACAGGGCUAGGGUAAGGUUAAAGGUUUUUGGCGUUAGGGUUAAAAUCACUGUCCAAAACCUUUGUAGGAACUCUUUUCCAACCUUUUGGAGUUAGCUAGACCAAAAAAAAAAAAAUGAAAAAUGAAAAAAAAAAUGUUUGGGGUGUGAAGGCUUCCUUAAGUUAAUACCUGGGUAUUAGGUUGGGGGAUAGGGUAAGGUUUAAGGUUUUGAGCGUUAGGGUUAAAAACACUGUCCAAUAUUUUUGGGGAACAUGUUUCAGACCUUGUAGAGUUAGUUAGACCAAAAAAAAUAAAAAAUAAAAAAUAAAAAAUAAAAAUUUUGGUUUGGUAGGGCAUCCUUAAGGUAAUACCCGGGUAUAAGGUUACAGGGCUAGGUAAAGGUUAAAGGUUUUUGUUGUUAGGGUUAAAAUCACUGUCCAAUAUUUUUAAGGAACAUGUUUCAGACCUUUUGGAGUCAGUUAGACCAAAAAAAAAAACGAAAAAUGAAAAAAAAAAUGUUUGGGGUGUUAAGGUUUCCUGAAGGUAAAACCCGGGUAUUAGGUUACGGGGCUAUGGUAAGAUUUAAGGUUUUUGGCUUUAGGGUUAAAAUCACUGUCCAAAACCUUUUUAGGAACAUGUUUCAAACCAUUUGGGGUUGGUUACACCAAAAAAAAAUGUAAAAUGAAAAAAAAUAUUUGGGGUGUUGUGGGAACUCAUAUAUCAUACCUAUCAUUUAGUCAUUGUUUCAGGUAAUUAACUGUUUUCUUAUUGUGUUUACAUUAUUUUGUGUGCUCAUUGCGGACAUGUACAUAUGAGUCAGAAUAGAAGGUUUAAUGCUAACAUGGGGGCAAUUGACCACUGUGUCACAAUGUAUAGAACAGAGACUUUCAGUAUAGAAGGAUUUUGGCUUAUGCUGAGAAGUGCCAAGGGUUGGUAAGUAUGGUUUUAAACUGUUAUGCCUUAACAGUCAUUUAUUUGAAGUGUGUAUUAUAAUCACAACAGUCAUUUAUUAAAAGUGUUCCUUAUAAAAGUGCUCUAUGACCCUGACAUAUGCCUCAGAUAAUGAUGUGCCUUUCAUUAAUAGAUGUGCAGGUGCUAGUCAGAGAUGUGAACAACAGGACGAGGGAGGAAGAUCACUCUGUCCUGAGAAGAUGGGGAGGUGUAAAGGGAGGGUUUGUAUGCCCAGCAGUCUGCCCAGUGGGAACUCAGUGAAAGCUUGGAAUACAUGACGCAAAUAUGAUAAAAAAGGAGACAAGCGCUGGAUGCAUCCAAGGUCAACUUCCCUGAAACCACGGUUUCCGUCAGGUAAAAAAAAUAGAACAAUACGUGCUUGUUUGUCCAUAGAGAAACACUGGGGACUGCUGGUUAUGUAAACUCUCCGCCCAAAAAGAUAAUGAGACGCCUCCUAGGGUAUAACUAUGUAGCGUUGGGGUCAAAAAGAGGGCUCAGGUUAGGUUUGGAGUUGGGCGCCAGACAGGGGAACUAAUCAUCCUAUCAUGAAUUAAUAAAAAAAAUCAAAAUACCCUGAGACUUAAUCUAAAGAAAUAUACGACUAGCUUGAUCGAUACCCCUGCUACAAAAUUUCAACAAAAGAUUUGAGAGUAAAGAAAAAAUACUUUUUAUCAAAGUUAAAUGUUCAAUAAAGCAAAACAGGGACAAACAAACCAAGCAAAACAGCAC